Molecule: long non-coding RNA, 252 nt
Filed under: Phoenix dactylifera (date palm)
Lineage: Eukaryota; Viridiplantae; Streptophyta; Magnoliopsida; Arecales; Arecaceae
Description: long non-coding RNA (PDAC_LNC008450)
Source: RNAcentral
CCUCCACGGCAAACAGCUGACCCGCUCGGCUACGUCCGAUCAGCCACGACGACUCAUUGGCUCCGGCCUGAUCUCCUACGGCAAUGCAUUAAUUCACACGAUCGUGCAUUAAUUCAUACGACAUGCUCAAUUAUGACGGUAACCCGAUCACCCCGUUACAUCACAGGUAAUCAUGUACCCCUCUAUAAAAGGGGAACCCCUCCAUCUUAGAAGGGGAUGGACUCUAAAACUCUGGAAUAUAUUUUCUCUCCC